Molecule: ribosomal RNA, 1588 nt
Filed under: Clostridioides difficile
Lineage: Bacteria; Bacillati; Bacillota; Clostridia; Peptostreptococcales; Peptostreptococcaceae
Description: partial 23S ribosomal RNA
Rfam family: Bacterial large subunit ribosomal RNA
Source: RNAcentral
UCUUUAUUGGGGUUGAGGACAUACCACAUAUAAGAGGUCAUUAUAGACGAAGAAGUUUGGAAAAACUCAUCAUAGAAGGUAAUAAUCCUGUAGUCAAAAUAAUAAUUCUUUAGGUAUGAUCCAGAGUACCACGGGACACGUGAAACCCUGUGGGAAGCAGGAGGGACCACCCUCCAAGGCUAAAUACUACCUAGUGACCGAUAGCGUAUAGUACCGUGAGGGAAAGGUGAAAAGAACCCCGGGAGGGGAGUGAAAUAGAACCUGAAACCCUGCACUUACAAGCUGUGGAAGCACAUUUCUUGUGUGACCGCGUACUUUUUGUAGAACGGGCCAACGAGUUACGUUAAGUAGCAAGGUUAAGCACUUAAGGUGUGGAGCCGUAGCGAAAGCGAGUUUUAACUGAGCGUUCAGUUACUUGACGUAGACCCGAAACCGGGCGACCUACCCAUGAGCAGGAUGAAGCGAAAGUAAAAUUUCGUGGAGGUCCGAACCCACGAGCGUUGAAAAGCUCGGGGAUGACUUGUGGGUAGCGGUGAAAUUCCAAUCGAGCCCGGAGAUAGCUGGUUCUCCCCGAAAUAGCUUUAGGGCUAGCCUCAAGGUGAGAGAUACGGAGGUAGAGCACUGAAUGUCCUAGGGGGUAUUGCACCUACCGAAGACUAUCAAACUCCGAAUGCCGUCAUCUUAUACUUGGGAGUCAGACUGUGGGUGAUAAGAUUCAUAGUCGAAAGGGCAACAGCCCAGAUCGUCAGCUAAGGUCCCUAAAUGUAAGUUAAGUGGUAAAGGAUGUGGGAUUGCACAGACAACCAGGAUGUUGGCUUAGAAGCAGCCACUCAUUCAAAGAGUGCGUAAUAGCUCACUGGUCGAGUGAUCCUGCGCCGAAGAUUUCCGGGGCUAAAACUUACUACCGAAGCUACGGCAUCAGUAAUGAUGGGUAGGGGAGCUUCCCAUACGGGUUGAAGCAUGACCGUAAGGACAUGUGGACAGUAUGGGAGUGAGAAUGUUGGCAUGAGUAGCGAGAUGUGGGUGAGAAUCCCACAGGCCGUAAACCCAAGGUUUCCAGGGGAAGGUUCGUCCGCCCUGGGUUAGUCGGGACCUAAGCUGAGGCCGAAAGGCGUAGGUGAUGGACAACAGGUUGAUAUUCCUGUACUACCGAUAACCGUUUGAGAGAAGGGAUGACACAGUAGGAUAAGCUAAGCACACUGUUGGUUAUGUGUGCCCAAGCAUUGAGGCAGUCAAAGUAGGCAAAUCCGCUUUGAUAAUGCUGGGAUGUGAUGGGGAGCGAAAUUUAGUAGCGAAGUAGCUGAUUUCACACUGUCAAGAAAAGUCUCUAUCGAGGUUAAAGGUACCCGUACCGCAAACCGACACAGGUGGGUGAGGAGAGUAUCCUAAGGCCAGCGAGAGAACUGUUGUUAAGGAACUCGGCAAAAUGACCCCGUAACUUAGGGAUAAGGGGUGCCACCAUUAGGUGGCCGCAGAGAAUAGGCCCAAGCGACUGUUUACCAAAAACAUAGGUUUCUGCUAAGUCGCAAGACGAUGUAUAGGAGCUGACGCCUGCCCGGUGCUGGAAGGUUAAGGGGAUCUGUUAGAG